UUACCUACGGGGGGCAGCAGUGAGGAAUAUUGGUCAAUGGGCGCGAGCCUGAACCAGCCAAGUAGCGUGAAGGAUGACUGCCCUACGGGUUGUAAACUUCUUUUAUAAAGGAAUAAAGUGAGGCACGUGUGCCUUUUUGUAUGUACUUUAUGAAUAAGGAUCGGCUAACUACGUGCCAGCAGCCGCGGUCAUACGUAGGAUCCGAGCAUUAUCCGGAGUGACUGGGUGUAAAGAGUUGCGUAGGUGGCAUAGUAAGUAGCUAGUGAAAUCUGGUGGCUCAACCAUUCAGACUAUUAGCUAAACUG
RNAcentral lists this ribosomal RNA (305 nucleotides) under uncultured bacterium. RNAcentral's name for it is "bacterial SSU rRNA". It matches the Rfam family "Bacterial small subunit ribosomal RNA", at positions 335 to 635 of the family's 1533-position model. The record is from RNAcentral.